RNAcentral lists this ribosomal RNA (2136 nucleotides) under Triticum aestivum (bread wheat). Its description in RNAcentral is "partial small subunit ribosomal RNA". The record is from RNAcentral. Lineage: Eukaryota; Viridiplantae; Streptophyta; Magnoliopsida; Poales; Poaceae.
AUGAAGAUGAGCCGGCAAUGGAUGUACGAUGACCGAUGCUCUCCCCAGUUCGUUGAGGGCGUGCAUGCUUUUCUGCUUGCGGCUGAGGCAAACAAGCGGGCGGAUGGUUUUAUGCCUUGUCCAUGUGCUCGCUGUAAGAAUGGUCACAAUUACUCUACGUCAAGAACCAUUCACGUCCACCUGUUUAAGUCCGGUUUCAUGCCCCAUUAUAAUGUUUGGACCAAGCACGGAGAAAGAGGGGUUAUGAUGGAAGACAAUGAAGAAGAAGAGGACGACGACAUCUAUCCUGGCCAUUGGUUCCCUGAAUACGAUGAUACAACAAUGGGGGAAGAAGCUGAGCCGGUAAUGCGGGAAGAAGCUAAGCCGGCAAUGCGGGAAGAAGCUGAAGAAGAGGGAUCAAAUGAGCCCGUUGAUGAUCUAGGUUGGGCCAUUGCCGAUGCAAAGAGAAACUGCGCAAGUGAUUUGGAGAAGAAGAAGUUGCAGCGCAUGUUAGAGGAUCACAAAAAAUUGUUGUACCCGAAUUGCGUAGGUGACAAGAAAAAGCUGGGCACCACACUGGAAUUGCUGCAAUGGAAGGCAGAGAAUGGUGUAUCUGACAAGGGAUUUGGAAAGUUGAUGGUAAUGAUAAAGGAUAUGCUUCCAAAGGACAACGAAUUGCCCGAGAGUACGUACGAAGCAAAGAAGGCUGUCUGCCCUCUAGGGUUAGAGGUGCAGAAGAUACAUGCAUGCCCUAAUGAUUGCAUCCUCUACCGUGGUGAGUACGAGGAUUUGAACGCUUGCCCGGUAUGUGGUGCAUUGCGCUAUAAGAUCUACCGCGAUGACCCUGGUGAUGUCGAGGGCCGGCGCCCCAGGAAGAAGAUUCCUGCCAAGGUGAUGUGGUAUGCUCCUAUAAUACCACGGUUGAAACGUUUGUUCCAAAACAAAGAGCAUGCCAAGGCGAUGCGAUGGCACAGAGAAGACCGUAAGAAAGACGGAAAGUUGAGAGUACCCGCUGACGGGUCGCAGUGGAGAAAAAUCGAAAGAAAGUACGGGAAGGAGUUUGCAGAUGACGCAAGGAGCGUAUGGUUUGGUCUAAGCACAGAUGGCAUUAAUCCUUUUGGGGAGCAGAGCAGCAACCAUAGCACCUGGCCUGUGACUCUAUGUUUGUAUAACCUUCCUCCUUGGUUGUGCAUGAAGCGGAAGUUCAUUAUGAUGCCAGUGCUCAUCCAAGGCCCUAAGCAACCCGGCAACGACAUUUAUGUGUACCUAAGGCCAUUAGUUGAAGAACUCUUACAACUGUGGAAUGGAACAGGUGUACGUGCGUGGGAUGAGCACAUGGGGGAAGAAUUUGACCUAAAGGCGUUGCUGUUCGUGACCAUCAAUGAUUGGCCUGCUCUCAGUAACCUUUCAGGACAGACAAACAAGGGAUACCGCGCAUGCACGCACUGUUUGGACGAUACCGACGGUAUAUAUUUGGCUAAUAAGAAUGUGUACCUGGGACAUCGUCGAUUUCUUCCGAGCAGGCAUCCCGUAAGAAAGAAAGGCAAGCAUUUCAAAGGUGAGGCGGAUCACCAGACGAAGCCUCGCCACCGUACUGGUGCUGAUGUACAUGAUAUGGUCAAGGAUUUGAAGGUGGUCUUUGGGAAGGGUCCUGGUGGACAACCUGUUCCGAAUUACGCUGACGGACGCGCACCCAUGUGGAAGAAGAAAUCUAUAUUUUGGGACCUGCCCUAUUGGAAAGACCUCGAGGUCCGCUCCGCAAUCGACGUGAUGCACGUGACGAAGAAUCUUUGUGUGACCCUGCUUGGCUUCUUGGGCGUAUAUGGGAAGGAAAAAGAUAUACCUGAGGCACGGGAGGACCAGCAACGUAUGCACGGAAAAGACAGCAUACAUCAGGGUCAUGCAAGCUACGCUCUUACCAAAGAAGAGAAGGAAAUCUUCUUUGAAUGCCUGCUCAGUAUUAAGGUACCGUCUGGCUUCUCGUCGAAUAUAAAGGGAAUAAUAAACAUGGCAGAGAAAAAGUUCCAGAACCUAAAGUCUCAUGACUGCCACGUGAUUAUGACGCAACUGCUUCCGGUUGCAUUGAGGGGGCUUCUACCGGAAAACGUUCGAUUAGCCAUUGUGAAGCUAUGUGCAUUUCUCAAUGCAAUCUCUUAG